CCGGACUGCGCAGCGCCUCUGGAGGGAGUCGCCUCAGUGCGGGAUGAGAAGUGAGUCAGAAGGCACGGACCUGUAGGGACAAAGUCGCCAGCGAUGACAGCCCAGGGGCUCACGCCUUCUCAGCUGCUCCUGCUGCUAGUGGUCGCGGGCGCUGCGGGCGCUGCGGGCGCCCGGUGGCGCGGGGAGGGCACCACACCGCACCUACAGAGCAUCAUCCUGGGCCGAUGCGCGGAGUACGUGGCCCUCCUGAAUCCGGACCAGCGGGACAAGAACUGCACAGCUAUCUGGGAAGCCUUUAAAGUGGUGCUGGACAAGGAUCCCUGUUCCGUAUUUCCCUCCGACUACGACCUUCUUAUUAACCUCUCCAGACAUUCCAUUCCCAGAGACAAGUCCCUGUUCUGGGAAGACAACCACCUCCUUGUCACUAGCUAUUCAGAGAAUGCCCGUCGCUUGGUACCUCUGUGCAAUGUUCUGUAUGGGACGAUUGGCGAUUUUCUGAGCUGGUGUCGACAGGAAAAUGCCUCCGGACUCGAUUACCAGUCCUGCCCUACAUCAGAAGAUUGUGAAAACAACCCCGUGGAUUCUUUCUGGAAAAGGGCGUCUAUGCAGUAUUCAAAGGACAGUUCUGGGGUGAUCUAUGUCAUGCUGAAUGGUUCAACGCCAUCAGGAGCCUAUCCUGUUAAAGGUUUUUUUGCAGAUUUUGAAAUUCCCUAUUUCCAGAAGGAUAAAAUCACACGAAUUGAGGUCUGGGUUAUGCAUGACAUCGGAAGACCGAAAGUGGAAUCCUGUGGAGAAGGCACUGUGAAAAUCCUGGAAGAGAGACUGAAGAAAAUGGGUUUUCAGUACAGCUGUAUUAACGAUCACCUACCAGUGAAGCUCUUAAAGUGCGUGGACCACAGCACCCAUCCUGACUGUGCUUUGAAUUCAGAGAGACACAGCGAGAGAGAGAACGAGAGAGAGAACACAAGCAGAGGGAGUGGGAGAGGGAGAAGCAGGCUUCCCACUGAGCAGGGAGCCCAACGCGGGGCUCCAUCACAGGACUCCGGGAUCAUGACCUGAGCCGAAGGCAGACGCUUAACGACUGAGCCACCCAGAUGCCCCAAGAAGAAAACCCUCUUUCACUCUUGGCAGGGCAGCAGCAUCUACUCAAAGGGAAGUCCCACCUCUCUGGGCAGAACCUGGUGCCAGCCAUAUCAUUCCUUUCUUAGUGGCUCUGGCUUCAGCUGUUCAAAUGUAACUGGAAACUCCGCUGUGCAGCCCUAACCGUCCACCAGCCCUGAAGCCUGCCCUUUGCACAUUCAUCCUUCUUGUUCUGUGCAUACCAGGUGAUUCCAUUGUCUAAUGAAGCUCCCUGCUGGGAAAACAAUGUCCCGAGAGGAGUUUUCAAUGAUACACAUGCUCCAGAUUUCAGAGACAAGAAAUUUAUCUAGUCCUAUUGAACAGGUUAAAAUUGCUGCAUUAGAAUUAAAGCGAGUUAUUAGCUUCUUAUUUCAUAAUGGUACAAAGCAUUGAGAUCCAAACUAUUGCUGUAUAAAAAAUAUUUUUAGGAAAUUCUAACAGAACUAAAUUCUGUAUUUUUUCUGUAUUUUCCCUUAUCCUCAGUGGGGCACACUGCUUGCUUAUUGAUAGCUUAAGAUAUAUAUACACUAUUGGCGCGAGCCAAGCUACUCAUGCUAUUUGACAAGGUCCAAGUAUGGGGGACGAUCCUGAAAACAGGAGACUCCACAGCUGGCUCCUGCUAUUCUCUUUCAUUUUGUUUAUGGCAAUCUUUAUAAUUGUGGGAAUAUUUCUGGGGUUGCAUGAUAAAGUGACUACUCAUCUUAGUUACGCCUAUCUAAGCAAUCAUAAUGAAACUAAUUCCAUGAAGAAUUGGUUUCCAUAGAACAAAAUAACAAGACGGUCACGCUCUGUCUAGCACCUUUCUCUUUGCGUACUGUUUUUUAGUUUUAGCGAAAGUCAAUAAGCGGAAAUCAAUAAAGAUCAUGUUAAUCAUUACAAAGGAAAAAUGAAAGAAGGCUAUGGCUGUAAUCCAGAAAAUGAUCUAAGAUUAUCUCGAUAAAUUGUAAAAAAAAAAACAAACAUAAUCACAUGUUACGAAAGUAUGGAAAAACAAAAAUAUCCUAACAUAUAGAUAAAGUUCCUCCGAGGCUGUCGGGAGGAGAUGCUUGCAACCUGA
Molecule: RNA transcript, 2176 nt
Organism: Mirounga angustirostris (Northern elephant seal)
Lineage: Eukaryota; Metazoa; Chordata; Mammalia; Carnivora; Phocidae
Gene: BST1
Gene name: bone marrow stromal cell antigen 1
Exons: 10
Source: RefSeq, a predicted model, not a curated record